GGAAUUUACCGGAUGUAGCGAUGAUAUGCGCUAGAUAAUCGGUCGGAAACACCAGUGGUCGAUAAGCGAUUAACCUGGGCUGAGCUAAUGACGCUGAGCGACGAAAGCGUCGGGCUAGCUAACAGGACUUAGAUACCCUGGUAGUCCACGCCCCUAAACGAUGAACUACUAGAUGCUAGGAUUUUUUCUGUAUCGUAGCUAACGCACUAAAGUAUUCCGCCCUGAGGAGUACGGUCGCUAAGGCUGAAACUCUAAGGAAUUGGCGGGGACUCGCACAAGCGGUGGAGCAUGUGGUUUAAUUCGAUGAUAAGCGAAGAACCUUACCAGGGCUUGACAUGUAAGCAUAAGCUUGCGUGAAAGCGUGGAGUGGAUCUGGGCUUGCCUAGAUCGGUUUACACAGGUGCUGCAUGGCUGUCGUCAGCUCGUGCCGUGAGGUGUCCGGUUAAGUCCGGUAACGAGCGCAACCCCUAUUAUCAGUUGCCGUCACUUCGGGUGGGCACUCUGAUGAAACUGCUGGUUAAAACUAGAGGAAGGAGGGGAUGACGUCAAGUCAUCAUGGCCCUUAUGUCCUGGGCUACACACAUGCUACAAUGGCGGAUACAACGGGUUGCGAACUCGCGAGGGGGAGCUAAUCCUAUCAAAGUCCGUCUCAGUUCGGAUUGCAGGCUGCAACUCGCCUGCAUGAAGUUGGAAUCGCUAGUAAUCGCGGAUCAGCAACGCCGCGGUGAAUACGUUCCCGGGUCUUGCACACACCGCCCGUCACACCACGUUUAGUCGGUCUUACCCAUAAGCAAGCUGCGCUUUACCCUU
RNAcentral lists this ribosomal RNA (810 nucleotides) under uncultured marine bacterium. RNAcentral's name for it is "bacterial SSU rRNA". It matches the Rfam family "Bacterial small subunit ribosomal RNA", at positions 663 to 1445 of the family's 1533-position model. The record is from RNAcentral.